CCCGCGUCGCGUGGUACGCUCCUUUUUUGGUGGCGUGGCGCGCUCCCUGCGCGAGCUCAGAGCUGCACGUCCGGUACCACUCGGGGCGCGGGCAGGCGAAAGAGGAGGUGGGGGUAAGGGAGCAGAGGUUGGUAUCUAGAAAAGGGGGAGGGGAUGUCAGUGGAAGCGGAGGGGGUAGAGCAGGCGGGGUCCUAGGUUCCACAUGCCCACACCUCCGCUCGAAGGGCCGCUGUCGCUGCCGCUGCUGCUGCCACGACCUAAGCUAGACGUCCUCUCUCUCUUCUACUCUCCCUCUUCUUCCUCCUCUCCUCCCACUUUCUCUCCCUUCUCCUCUCCCUCCACACCAAAGCUUACCCUAUCCGGACGCGGCCGCUCCAGCCCGCGCUGGACCGCUAACCACCGCCGAGUUAAGCGAGGACCUAGCCCUGGAUACUCCUCCGGCCCCGGACCCGCACUCCGUGUAUCCAACGCGAGACGAAGAAGGAGCUAGUUGUUCUCCUCAUACACGUCACGCCACCACACCGCCUGCCGGCGAGCACGUCACCGGAGUCACCCAGCCGCUGCCGUGGACGUCUCGAGCGUGGCGGGACCGCGGCUAGGUCGCGCCGAGGACGUGCAGCGGUGGGGGAGGAGGGGUAGAGUCGCCCUCCACUUAAACACGGCGACGACGGAGAAGGCGGUUCGUCCUCCUCGUGCUCUAGUCCCUACUACAAUUUUAUAAAACGAUCCAGACGGUAGUUGAAAGACAAGUUCACAUUGUUAGUAAGAACGUAGUUCCCUACUCUUCUUACAAAUGUCCCACGUUUACGAAGUCUUUUAGAUACGACGAAUGACCUUUAGACCUUAGUACAACGAGUUCACAGUCCUAAUACAUGAUCUGUACUACUUUAUUCUACUCCACACUUAAAAAAUCGGUACGAAAAAAUCGAGUACUUCCGUCUUCAAAUACCUUAAAAAGUCAUGGUGGAAGGACGCCGAGACUCCUAAAACAGACGACCGACGGAGAGGCUUACCUCAUACUUUACUAAAUCAUUAGUGAACAUACGUUUUUCUCCACGUGUCAAACCACAACACUCUUAACUUGACCUUGCCUUAAAAAUACGGAUACAUAAAAAGGACAGCUCCAUAGAGGUUAGCAUACGUCUAGGUGUCACCUAGUUCGCCUUAACCGUGUAAACGAUAUGUCUAACGCUUCACGGAACCUUAGUUCCAAAACAGUGACGUCCGAAUAACCAAGUCUAUCUAUGUCAUAUAUACCAUGUUUCUACAAAAGGCUUUCGUUGAGACAAUACGACGAGAUCUUUCGGUUUCUCUUUGAUCGGCGAACCAUGCAAAUUCCACACCUAUAUACGUCUUUGAUGUUUUGGAAACAUCGUGUAUAGCUUCUUCUUUGAUUACCUUUACCAUAAUAGGACGGUAGGAGAACACUGCGAACUACGGGACUACGUCUCUGCAACUACAGUAAGACCUGUUGCACCCGUCUAGAAUAGAAAUUCCGUUAGACCUAUCGAAUCGUCAACUACCAUCUGAAAAGUAGCAACCAGAGUACCCUCCGUGACAUUGACUUCACUUGGACGUACGCUACGAAUGGGCUUCUGACUGACAUAUUCUAACAUAGCUAGAUAGAAAUAUGUUGGUACGGAGAAAGUCAAAAUACACAAAAAAAGGACUAUUGUGUAGAAUGAGAUACUUGUGUUACGAGUAUCCUGACAACUACGAAAAGACAACAAUCUUAAAGUAAGAAACAAAAAACCGUUGACUAAUACGUCACGAUACUACAUCGAAACACAGAAGAUUUAAUAAAAAAUGAGAGUUUAUUAAAUAAUCUGUUACCUUCUCGAUUUACGUAUGAAAACACAUCUGAAUGGAGGUAAAUGGACUAAAGUGCACGUACUAAACGACAGCGGGAAGCGCGGUAGCCGCGUUGCCCACCAAUCGACGAAAAAAUACACACUCUUAUAGUCCUUACAAAGAUAUACACGGGUCUAAAUAAACCAAGUGAAAGUGACGAGAAACAACUUAAUUGACUCUUUAAGAACUAAGAAAAAUACAAUAAAGAAAUGUGCUUCCUAGGUCUAAUUUUAGAUUACACAAUAAGAACGACCGAAUCAGAUUUGUUUACGUAAAAUCUAGUGGAUGAAGAGUCAAGUACUAAAAACUAAGUCACAUAACGCCAACUAAUGGCCUUGUGUGAGUGGGUUUCACAGCUAGACAUAGGCAUGUAUUAAAUGAUUUAAUUUAAAAAACUCAACAAAGAUAUUUACAUUCAACUGAUAAAACAAAGGUAUAUUUUUUUUCCAUAAAACAUUUCUUGUAUUCAUAUUGAUACCCGGAUACCGAGUACAACGACUUAUAUCAACUCUCUUUUACUUGUAUAACAAUUAAGAAAGGUUAAACAAUAACGUUAAGUGUGUAUCAAGUUAAAGAAUCAGGAGCACGUAAAAGUGUCAAUCACAGAAGAUCUUGAAUCAUGUUUUGAACUUAUAAAAUUCAUUAGUUUCACUUUAACCAUUAAUCGUAGACGACUCUCGUGACUUGAUUUAGUACAAGUGCUUUGAAUAAUAAAAAAGAUUGAAGAUGUCCGCCGGCACAAGAGUCGAGAAAUAAGCCUAGAAACAUCUACCCACUCGUACAAACGAACGACGGAACGUCCACAACCUCUGGACACCAACGAGAAAAAUAACUUUGCUUCCCUUUAUAUGCUCAUAGUGCACGCCUACACGGUACGUAAAGGAUGAAGUGGAACCGAUCGUCUCAAUUGACCGGUACGUCUUUAACAACACUCCCGCCUCGAAGUACCAACUAAGAAUUUACCCGUAUUAGGUUCAUUCAUAAUCCACACUUCUUUCAACCUCUACAACUUCCUACGUUUCUUAGGAAGGGGUUAGUAACACAAAAUUCGUCGAGUAGCCCUAAUUCCCAUGGUGGUCAAACUUGGGACUGUUUAAGUGGUACGUUUAAUUAUCCUUCUGUGUAUAUCGGUCGUCACAUGUACAAGGACGUACGUCUAUGUCUGACAUCCAACACGUAAACAACUAAACAAACUAGGACAACCCAACGAAUAUAACGAGUGGUGCAGUAAUGGUCCAGAUUCUUGUGAUCCUACGUGAAGACAGUUCACCGUUAAUCGUUAGUUGGAAAGGACUUCUUAACACGAAGAUAAGGAUAGGUUACGAAGAAACUCUCUUCGUCGUAUCGGUCUUGAAAUGCCUACACCGUUGUCUCAAGAGUCUUCUAUAUAAGGGCAGAAAACAGCUGACGAUUUGGUCGUCCUUGUCUACCAGGAGAACCGUAGUACUGUAGUAGACUGUCAUUCCCUGAACACUUGUUGUACUUUUUGAAAGUCGGUAGAAAACUAAUGUGCCUUUAUACGGAAACUACGUAGGCACAAUAAUAAAUGACUGGCUGACACAAAUCGUUGAAGUCACACAUAUAGUUUUAAUGAUGAGGGAGGUAGGCUUUUUCGCACAGGGAGUUUACUUACAUACAUCGUAGUUCAAUCACGAUCUAUGUAGGUAAACUCCUUGUUCGAACCCUGUUUGAAAAAGCCUGCCUCCCUCAUAUACUACAUUAACUGGUGAUAGUGAUUCUUCACGAGGAGCUGUGUUACGAGAUAUAAUAGUACAGAAAUCACGUAAAAUAACACGGUGGACGCAUAUAUCGAUGAACUUAGAAGAUUAACG
This 3683-nucleotide ribosomal RNA is filed under the name Triticum aestivum (bread wheat). RNAcentral describes it as "partial small subunit ribosomal RNA". The record is from RNAcentral. Lineage: Eukaryota; Viridiplantae; Streptophyta; Magnoliopsida; Poales; Poaceae.